GACGAACGCUGGCGGCGUGCCUAAUACAUGCAAGUUGAGCGCUGAAGGUUGGUACUUGUACCAACUGGAUGAGCAGCGAACGGGUGAGUAACGCGUGGGGAAUCUGCCUUUGAGCGGGGGACAACAUUUGGAAACGAAUGCUAAUACCGCAUAAAAACUUUAAACACAAGUUUUAAGUUUGAAAGAUGCAAUUGCAUCACUCAAAGAUGAUCCCGCGUUGUAUUAGCUAGUUGGUGAGGUAAAGGCUCACCAAGGCGAUGAUACAUAGCCGACCUGAGAGGGUGAUCGGCCACAUUGGGACUGAGACACGGCCCAACCUCCUACGGGAGGCAGCAGUAGGGAAUCUUCGGCAAUGGACGAAAGUCUGACCGAGCAACGCCGCGUGAGUGAAGAAGGUUUUCGGAUCGUAAAACUCUGUUGGUAGAGAAGAACGUUGGUGAGAGUGGAAAGCUCAUCAAGUGACGGUAACUACCCAGAAAGGGACGGCUAACUACGUG
Molecule: ribosomal RNA, 497 nt
Filed under: uncultured bacterium
Lineage: Bacteria
Description: partial 16S ribosomal RNA
Rfam family: Bacterial small subunit ribosomal RNA
Source: RNAcentral